This 73-nucleotide transfer RNA is filed under the name Desmophyllum pertusum. RNAcentral's name for it is "tRNA-Glu". The record is from RNAcentral. Lineage: Eukaryota; Metazoa; Cnidaria; Anthozoa; Scleractinia; Caryophylliidae.
GGCACAGUAGCCUAAUGGUUAGUGUGCUGGACUCUCAAUUGAGAGGUCUGGGUUUGAGCUCUGGCUGGUGUUG